CGUUGGUGAGCUGACAAAAAGCGUUAUAACCAACGAUGUCCGAAUGGGGAAACCCGGCACUUCGGUGUCAUCUGCAACUGAAUACAUAGGUUGCAGAAGCGAACGAGGGGAACUGAAACAUCUAAGUACCCUUAGGAAGAGAAAUCAAUUGAGAUUGCCUUAGUAGCGGCGAGCGAACGGGUAACAGCCGAUGGUUUAUGUUGUAGUGGAACGGUCUGGAAAGUCCGGCGAUACAGGGUGAUAGCCCCGUACACGAAGCAUGAUAUAUCACAUAUUAAGUAGGACGGGACACGUGUUAUCUUGUCUGAAGAUGGGGGGACCAUCCUCCAAGGCUAAAUACUCCUGGCUGACCGAUAGUGAACCAGUACCGUGAGGGAAAGGUGAAAAGCACCCCGACGAGGGGAGUGAAACAGUACCUGAAACCGGAUGCUUACAAGCAGGUGGAGCUCUUCGGAGUGACACCGUACCUUUUGUAUAAUGGGUCAGCGACUUAGUGUUGCG
Molecule: ribosomal RNA, 501 nt
Filed under: Pseudo-nitzschia fraudulenta
Lineage: Eukaryota; Bacillariophyta; Bacillariophyceae; Bacillariales; Bacillariaceae
Description: partial Bacterial large subunit ribosomal RNA
Rfam family: Bacterial large subunit ribosomal RNA
Source: RNAcentral